GUCUUUUUCUUCCUUGCUUCGUCUUCCUCCUCCUCUUACUGAUCAAUCCUCUCUCUCUCUCUGCCUCCAAUGGCGACGAGUACUCCGUCUUCCUCCUCUUCCACCACCAACAUCAUGCUGGCGAUCUUCGAGAAGAAGACCGUCUCCCUCGACCUGUACCGCCCACUCCGCCAGUACAUCUCCUUCACCUAUUCCGAGCGCGAGGCCCAGAACCUCGAGGAUGAUCUCCAAACCCUAAGGGACCUCCGCUCCGACCUCGAGAACCCCGCCAAGCAGCCCUCCCACUCCGCCCGCCGUGACCUACUCCAGUCCUACUUCCGUGCCCUUUGCGUCAUCGAGACCCGAUUCCCCAUCUCCCCCGACCGCGACCACGUCAACUCCGUCACUUUCACGUGGUACGACGCCUUCAAGCAGAAGCAGAAGGCCUCCCAGCAGAACAUCCACCUCGAAAAGGCCGCCGUCUUGUUCAACCUCGGAGCUGUCUACAGCCAGAUCGGGCUGAGCUAUGACCGCUCCACAGUGGAGGGGCGGCGCCAGGCCGUGCAGGCCUUUAUAGCCGCAGCCGGGGCGUUUGCUUAUUUGAGGGAUAAUGCAGCCACGAAGGCGUCGAUGGGGACCUCGACAACCUUGGAUGUGUCGGUGGAGUGUGCGGGGAUGCUUGAGAGGCUGAUGCUGGCUCAGGCGCAGGAAUGCGUCUUCGAGAACACGAUCGCCAAAGGGAGUACCCCAGGCGUUUGUGCUAAAAUCUCCAGGCAGGUCGGGCUGUACUAUGAAGAAGCCUUUGCUGCUCUUAGUGUGGCUCCGUUAAAUCAGCAUUUUGACAAGGCCUGGAUAGCGCAUGUACAGCUGAAGGCAGCUUUGUUUUAUGCGGAAGCAUGCUAUAGAUAUGGCAUAGAGCUGCACGAGAAAGAGGAGGUAGCAGAGGAAAUUGCUAGGUUGCGGAGUGGUAUUAAUGCUUUAUCAGAUGCCAAGAAGAACUCUAAAGGCGCAGCAGCUCAACUUCUAGAUGCUAUCAACAAGCUUGAGGCAAACAUAAAUCGCAAUUUAGAGAGGGCUGUGAAGGAAAACGAUAGGGUCUACCUUAUGAGAGUACCUUCCCCCAGUUCCCUUCCACCUCUCCCAGCAUUUUCUUUGGUGAAGCCACUCGCAAUGAAUGAGGUGUUGGAUGCAAGCAAGGAGAAGCUGUUUGCAAGUUUAGUUCCAGACAGUAGUGCAAAGGCGCUUUCAAGGUACACUGAGAUGGUUGAUGAUAUCAUUCGAAUGCAAGCUGAGAAACUGCAGCAGGGGAGUGAACUGACUAGGGUUAAGUUGAAGGAAAUGGACCUGCCUGAUAGUUUACUAGCAUUGGAAGGUCAUUUCGCUCUUCCAGCAGAUCUCAAAGAGGAUGUGGAGGCCGUGCAGAUUAGUGGAGGCCCAGCUGGCCUAGAAGCUGAGCUGCAGCAACUUCGAGAUCUGAGGAGGGUGAACCAGGAAUUGCUGGUUCAGACUGAAGAGCUCCUUCAGAAAGAGGCUAGAGAAGAUGCACAAUUCAGAAGCCAGUUCGGAACACGUUGGACUCGGCCUCAGUCCAGCACUCUCACUAAGAAUUUACAAGACAGGCUGAACAGAUUUGCGGGUAACUUGAAGCAAGCAGCAGAGAGUGAUGCCAAGAUUGAGCGUUCAGUCAGAGAUCAUUCUGCCCUAAUGUCCAUCCUGGAUCGCCGCCCGAUUGAAUCAGCUCUUCCAACUUUGGCACGCCCAAUAAUGUCCUUGGAUGCCAAUGAAGAUGCUAUUGUGGGCGCAUUGAAGCAAAGCUUGAGGCAAUUGGAAACCCUUGGUGCACAGAGGGCAGGGCUUGAGGACAUGCUAAAGGAGAUGAAAAGAAAGGACGAUAUACUACCAAAGUUGAUGACGUCGACAGGAUCCUAUGAGGACCUCUUCAAAAAGGAGUUAUCCAAGUAUGAUCCCAUCUGUGAGGACAUUGCCCAAAAUAUCGAGGCUCAGGAACAGCUAUUGAUGCAAAUCCAGGCUCAAAAUGAUGAAUUCUCUGCAAUCUUCAAUCUGGAAGACUACAAAGCGUCUCGGGAGAAAUGUUAUAAGCAGAUUCAAGCUGCCAUUGCAAAGUAUCGAGAAAUUAAGGAGAAUAUCAACGAGGGUCUCAAGUUUUAUGUGACCCUUCAGGAUGCGAUCACAAACGUGAAGCAGCAGUGCAGUGACUUCGUUAUGACGAGGAACAUCCAGUGCCGAGAAAUGAUUGACGAUGUCCAGAGAAACAUGGCAGGUCUAAGCUUUCAGGACAAGAAUUCCGGUUCAUUCAACAGCGGCUAUCCCCCAGUGAGCCAUCAGCCCCACCAGAGGUCCUCUCCGCCGCCACCAGUCACGGGCCAAAAUGUGCCGCAAACACCUAUGUACCAGCCUCCUGAUCAGCCCACUGCGUCAACUGGAUACUCGUACCAUCCUCCCCCAUAUGGCUCCACCCAGCAGCAGGCACCACCCCCGCCAUACCAGGUGUCAUCUGCCCCUUCCUACGGGCAUCCGCCGCCCCAGCAACAACCGCCAGCGAGCCAUGACUAUGGUCAGCCUGCAUAUCCCGGGUGGAGAGGUCCAUACUACAAUGCACCGGCCCAGCAGCCUGGCCCCUAUGCACGGCCUCCGUACACUGCUCCAAGUCCGUACCCGCCACAUAACCAAACUGGCUACUACAGGCCACAAUAAGAGGCAGUAUGUCUAGUACUCUUCCUUUGCGUGUAAUUUUAUUGCUCCGCAUGUAUUAUUUUUUAUCUGAUCAAUUAUGACAGAUUGUUGAUGUUCUUGCUGCCGGUAUGUGCCCAUUCUUUGUGGAAUGGACUGGAUAUAGUUGGACCCUUCGCAUGGUCUUGAAGCCUUUUGAAGUUACUUGUGUAUGUGUCGGGAUGGGACUGGAAUUUGUAGGUUCUUGGCAGUUGAAACCUUAAUGGGAGUCGGUCCAUUGUCAUGUUCAUCAUGAAUUUCACGCUACUAUGGUUGGGAAAGCUAUGCUGUUAUUCCUUUGGCCGUGAGCACUUGUAAUGCUGUCUUACAGUAGACUGGGAAUUCUACCGUGCAGCGGCUGAAACUUUCAUAUUUUUCGUCAA
Molecule: non-coding RNA, 3092 nt
Organism: Punica granatum (pomegranate)
Lineage: Eukaryota; Viridiplantae; Streptophyta; Magnoliopsida; Myrtales; Lythraceae
Source: RefSeq, a predicted model, not a curated record